UUUUUUUUUUUUUUGUCUUUUUGCCUUUUGAGGGCUGCUCCCGCAGCAUAUGGAGGUUCCCAGGCUAGGGGUCGAAUCAGAGCUGUAGCCACUGGCGUACACCAGAGCCACAGCAACACGGGAUCCGAGCGCAUCUGCGACCUACACCACAGCUCACGGCAAUGCCGGAUCCUUAACCCUCUGAGCGAGGAUCUGGCAUUGCCUAGAGCUACAGAGUAGGUCACAGAUGUGGCUCGGAUCUGUUGUUGCUGUGGCUGUGGUAUAGGCGAGUGGCUGCUGCUCCAAUUUGACCCCUAGCCUGGGAACUUCCAUCUCCUGCAGGUGCGGCGAAUAAAGAAAAAAGAAAAAGGGUGAGUGACUUGAUAUUAUUAUAAUCAUUUUGACCUUGGGGACCCCCAGGUCAAUCAUUUUGACCUGGGGGGAACCCCCCCCCCGGCAGGGUUCUGUGGACUGUAGUUUGAGAAUCGCUCCUUCCCUUUGGGUUCUAUAGGGCCUAGAGACAGUAUCCUAGGAACAGAACACCUCUUGUGCCAGGCGACCUGGUUCAAAAGACAGUUCUGGUGGCUCAGCAGGUUAAGGAGCUGGCAUUGUCACAGCUGUAGCUCUAGUUAGUGCAGUGGCAUGGGUUCAAUCCAGCAGGGGGAAAAAAAAAAAAAAAAAAGAGCUAGAGAGACAGCUUUGACUGCAAGCAGGGUGAGCUCAGCUAUUCUCAGAUAUUCUCGUUUCUUCAUCUCUCACAUGGAGAUUGGAGUUCCCACUGUGGCUCAGUGGGUUAAGAACCCGUCUGGUAUCCAUGAAGAUGCAGGUUUGAUAGCUGGCCUUGCUCAUUGGGCUAAGGAUCCCGCAUUGCUGCAAACUGUGGCGUAGGUCGCAGUUGUGGCUUGCAUCUGGCAUUGGUGUGGCUGUGGCAUAGGUCAGCAGCUGCAGCUGCAGCUCCAGCUCUGAUUUGACCCUUGGCCUGGGAACCUACAUAUGUCACAAGUUCGGCCCUAAAAAGACAAACAAACCAAAAACCAAAAACCAAAAACUCUCCAAACCAAAACAAAAAACAUGAAUAUGGUACCGAUGAAAAUAAUAAAAGUACCUCCAUCCUAAGGUUAUAGCAAGACCCUUAGAUUCCUCCUCAAAUUACAUCUGGCAUGCAGUGUACAGUAAACAUUUUGCUGUUAGUAGCUUGGGAAACACCAUUUUAUUUUAUUACCACUUUUUAUUCAUGCAGUUAGUUUCUCCAGAGGCCAGUCUUGUGCUGGUCAGUGCUGGGGACAUGGCGAUGACCGAGAAGGGCCUGGCUCUGCCUUCAAAGGGCUCCCCAUCCAGCAAGGCCCAGAGUUUAAUUUGUGAGGGAUGGCCCUUAGCACCGCGAACCUGAGAAGUGUGAGUUCUUAGGACUGGGGAGGUGGGAAAAGGCAAGGAGCCCUGGCAAGUGGAGAGGGGGACAACUGUGGCCUGAUGAUUGGCCCGGUUAUUUUGCUAUUUUGCCCGUUACUCUGCCCCUAAGACGCCUCAGUCGUGUUGCCUAUCUGGUUCAUCCCCCCUCCUUCCCAACCUCUCUUGUAUAAAGUUAGUUCAUAGAUUGGGGGGGGGGGCUCUUUGAGGGAAGUCCCACCUCUGCUCUAACCUCGGUCUCUCAUGCUGCAGCUCCUCCUUUGGCUGCAUAUCCAUCCACAGUGCCACGUGGAAACUUGGGAUGUCCAGGCAGAAGAAGUGUCCGGGAUGGCGGGGGUCCGGUCCAGGCGCCUCCACUGUCCCCAAUCCGGGGGCCGCC
RNAcentral lists this long non-coding RNA (1765 nucleotides) under Sus scrofa (pig). RNAcentral describes it as "lncRNA (ENSSSCG00030058253.1)". Lineage: Eukaryota; Metazoa; Chordata; Mammalia; Artiodactyla; Suidae. The record is from RNAcentral.